Molecule: ribosomal RNA, 468 nt
Filed under: uncultured bacterium
Lineage: Bacteria
Description: partial 16S ribosomal RNA
Rfam family: Bacterial small subunit ribosomal RNA
Source: RNAcentral
GACGAACGCUGGCGGCGUGCUUAACACAUGCAAGUCGAACGGAAAGACCCUGCUUUUGUGGGGUUCUCGAUUGGCGAACGGGUGAGUAACACGUGAGUAACCUGCCCUUGACUUUGUGAUAACUUCAGGAAACUGCGGCUAAUACCGGAUAGGAGCUACUGCUGCAUGGUGGUGGUUGGAAAGUUUCGGCGGUUGGGGAUGGACUCGCGGCUUAUCAGCUUGUUUGUGGGGUAGUUGCUUACCAAGGCUUUGACGGGUAGCCGGCCUGAGAGGGUGACCGGCGACAAUGGGACUGAGAUACGGCACAGAAUCCUACGGGAGGCAGUAGUGGGGAAUAUUGCACAAUGGGCGGAAGCGUGAUGCAGCAACGCCGGGUGCGGGAUGACGGGUUUCGGGUUGUAAACAGCUUUCGAAUGUGACGAAGAGUGAGUGACGGUAAUGGGUAAAGAAGCACCGGCUAACUACGUG